Molecule: long non-coding RNA, 255 nt
Organism: Etheostoma spectabile (orangethroat darter)
Lineage: Eukaryota; Metazoa; Chordata; Actinopteri; Perciformes; Percidae
Exons: 3
Source: RefSeq, a predicted model, not a curated record
GAUGAGUAAUAGUCUGAUCUGGCAUUUCUGAGGGCCUUCCUAUACAUUUUCAGACUGUCUUGCCAAUUUAAACGAGAUUCUUCGAGUUUGGUGGAACGCCAUUUACUUUCAAGUUUUCACGAGGUUUGUUUCAAUUUGCGAGUUCGGGAGUUAUACCAAGGUGCUAGUUUCCUUUGCGUCAUCAUCUUCUUUUUUAGAGAUGCAACAAAGUCUAAAGUCGUCUGUAGGCAGGUCGUAGUACCUUCUACAAAUCCA